GCCGAUGUACUCAAGUGGUUAAGGGGGCGGUCUGCAAAACCGCUAUUCGCUGGUUCGAAUCCAGCCAUCGGCUCAA
Molecule: transfer RNA, 76 nt
Filed under: Spirochaetota bacterium
Lineage: Bacteria; Pseudomonadati; Spirochaetota
Description: Spirochaetes bacterium tRNA-Cys
Rfam family: tRNA
About the family: Transfer RNA (tRNA) molecules are approximately 80 nucleotides in length. Their secondary structure includes four short double-helical elements and three loops (D, anti-codon, and T loops).
Source: RNAcentral